This 506-nucleotide ribosomal RNA is filed under the name uncultured bacterium. RNAcentral describes it as "partial 16S ribosomal RNA". It matches the Rfam family "Bacterial small subunit ribosomal RNA", at positions 30 to 523 of the family's 1533-position model. The record is from RNAcentral.
AUUGAACGCUGGCGGCACGCCUAACACAUGCAAGUCGAGCGGCAGCGGGUUUAGUAGCAAUACAAGAUGCCGGCGAGCGGCGAACGGGUGAGUAAUACGUAAGAACUUGCCGUAUCGAUGGGGACAACAAAGGGAAACGUUGGCUAAUACCGAAGACACUCGAGAGAGGAAAGGUGGCUAGCAAUCUGUGUCGCGAUAUGAGAGGUAUUCGUCCGAUUAGCUAGUUGGUGGGGUAAGAGCUCACCAAGGCGACGAUCAGUAGCUGGUCUGAGAGGACGAUCAGCCACACUGGGACUGAGACACGGCCCAGACUCCUACGGGAGGCAGCAGUGGGGAAUUUUGGACAAUGGGCGAAAGCCUGAUCCAGCAAUGCCGCGUGUGUGAAGAAGGCCUUCGGGUUGUAAAGCACUUUUGUCCGGAAAGAAAUGGCUCUGGUUAAUACCUGGGGUCGAUGACGGUACCGGAAGAAUAAGGACCGGCUAACUACGUGCCAGCCGCCGCCGUAA